CUGUCUCCUGCCUUUGCUUUUUGUUUUUGGGGCUGUUGCAUGCCGACCUGUUUCUUAGAGUUGUGACAGCCAUCCUGUGGCCGUGGAGCAAAAAGUCUGAGGAUAAAAGUCACCCACUGAGGAGAGGGAGUGGAAGGAUGAAAAGUGGUCAGGUCCUUGAUGGCGCCAUUAAACCACAAACCAAACUAGGACUGCCAGCCAAAUGCAUGUUGACUGAUACUCAGACUGAGUCCCUGGAACCUGUGAUUUGUAAGAGAGAGAGAGAGAAUCCGGGCCUAGGAAAAAGAUUUGGGUCAAGCCCAAGUCAGCAAUUCUGUAGGUCAGAAGUCCAGGUGGACUCUGCUGCC
RNAcentral lists this long non-coding RNA (347 nucleotides) under Equus caballus (horse). RNAcentral's name for it is "lncRNA (ENSECAG00000057280.1)". Lineage: Eukaryota; Metazoa; Chordata; Mammalia; Perissodactyla; Equidae. The record is from RNAcentral.